UCGCGGCCAUCAUUUUGAAUAGGACAAGUAUAUGUGCGCUGGGAAAAAUAUUUCAUGAUGGACCAGUGAAUUCUUUACUUGUGGGUGAAACAGGUCUCAUAAGCGUAAAUACGACUAGCUUCUACUGAUUAUAAAACAUACCGUACUAGUUCAACCGCCACCCUUGUUUAAGAGCAACAUUUAAAAAUCACGUUUUUUUCAUCCUCAAGUAAUAAGUAAGUAGACUCGCCCAGUUUAAUCAAUCCAGACGCAUACAUAGAGCGCUUACUUCACCCGAUUUACAUUCGGAACAUUUUCACGCGUUUCGGGCUUUAUCGUAUGUUUAACAUGGGAUUUUUGAACCGUCCAAAGAUGUUGGAAAUGUUUGUCUCAUUGUUUAUUUUUUUUAAUAAAAAUGUUACUGCUUU
Molecule: long non-coding RNA, 407 nt
Organism: Mercenaria mercenaria
Lineage: Eukaryota; Metazoa; Mollusca; Bivalvia; Venerida; Veneridae
Exons: 2
Source: RefSeq, a predicted model, not a curated record